Non-coding RNA from Tephrocybe sp. NHM501043, 99 nucleotides. Lineage: Eukaryota; Fungi; Basidiomycota; Agaricomycetes; Agaricales; Lyophyllaceae. The record is from the annotation of a GenBank genome assembly.
GUCUUCUUGGCUCAGUUGGUUAGAGCGCAGGUCUCAUAGCAAUAUGACAACGAUCCGUUGGUAAUCCUGAGGUCGUGAGUUCGACCCUCACAGAGGACA